RNAcentral lists this long non-coding RNA (1179 nucleotides) under Anser brachyrhynchus (Pink-footed goose). RNAcentral describes it as "lncRNA (ENSABRG00000021737.1)". Lineage: Eukaryota; Metazoa; Chordata; Aves; Anseriformes; Anatidae. The record is from RNAcentral.
GAAUAGUUGUCCCCUUAGAACAAAGAGCAUUGUUCUGUGGCAUAAAAAGAGAAUGGAUGUAAAGAGAUGCACAUCCCAGACCGCCGUCCCACACAGCUCCCCUGCCACAGCACUGGUGCCAAGGAGCAGGACCAGGCACAGUGCUGGUUUCAGGGAGAAAAAAGAUAUUUUGAAGAUCUCUGCGCCUGGCAUAAGGAAAGUGCACUCUCUGUGUUCCUGCUUGAAAUCCUUGUCCUUGCAGUUCCCCCAGCAGAGCUACAGGUUCUCAGGAGACCAUGGAAGAGACCCAGACUGCUGCAUGCUAUUGAUCACAGUUCCAGAGGUCUCCAGAUGAGACAGAAGCCAGCAUAUGCAGUUUGGCAGAUGAAGAAUCAGUGCAGUCAACACAUGCCGUGAAGGGACCAUAAGCAGAUGCAUGCAGAAGGGUGAGCUUCAGGCAAGCAGAUAUGGCACCUCUUCCAAAUACUGACCUACGUCCAGCAAUUCUGGAGCUUUUGAGAUGCAUAUCUUCUACUUUGGCAAGAAGUGUCUCAGGUUUUCUACUUGCUGACAACAUCCUUGUAUUUGUUUUCAGCGUGACUCCUUACCAACUUUGGGAGGCAGUGACAAAUGAAGCCCAAAGUAAAUCAAGAUAUCUCAGAGGCUGCUGUGUAUUUCUCAUCAAGUUACAACAGUCGGGUUAGGAUUGAAGGCUGUUAGUGCCAAAACAAAAACAAAUGUUUGCUGGAAGGCAUUCUGUCUCUUGUAAAGCAUAAGCAGUAGAGGACAAUCAUGACAGCAGAUAAAUGAUGAACAUAUAUCACAGUAACCAGUGUUUCUCACUCAGUUCUCAGCUGCCAUAAGCAUUUUUGAAGAUUUUUUUUUAAAAAAAAAAAAAAAAAAAAAGCUAUUCUUCUACAUCUAUUCUUCUACAUUAUUUUACCAUUAGGGCAAAGAGAAAAUAGCCUGCUAACACUUCUAGAACUUCUUUAAUCUACUGCAACAUUAGACGAACUAGAGAGCAGAAAUUCCCAUUGCAUUAAUUGAUUGAGGUUGGUAUUUGUCACUACCCCAGUAGCAACUUAAAUAUCCAACUUGUUAUUACUGAACCUUUUUCACAUAAGUAAAAAUUAUUUGUUUCUGGUAAAUGAAAAACACUGACCACACACUAGCAGAGAAUAAAACAAAGAUGCCAGAACA